Molecule: ribosomal RNA, 492 nt
Filed under: uncultured bacterium
Lineage: Bacteria
Description: partial 16S ribosomal RNA
Rfam family: Bacterial small subunit ribosomal RNA
Source: RNAcentral
AGUGAACGCUGGCGGUAGGCCUAACACAUGCAAGUCGAACGGCAGCACAGUAAGAGCUUGCUCUUACGGGUGGCGAGUGGCGGACGGGUGAGGAAUACAUCGGAAUCUACUUUUUCGUGGGGGAUAACGUAGGGAAACUUACGCUAAUACCGAAUACGACCUACGGGAGAAAGCAGGAGAUCUUCGGACCUUGCGCGAUUGAAUGAGCCGAUGUCGGAUUAGCUAGUUGGCGGGGUAAAGGCACACCAAGGCGACGAUCCGUAGCUGGUCUGAGAGGAUGAUCAGCCACACUGGAACUGAGACACGGUCCAGACUCCUACGGGAGGCAGCAGUGGGGAAUAUUGGACAAUGGGCGCAAGCCUGAUCCAGCCAUACCGCGUGAGUGAUGAAGGCCUUCGGGUUGUAAAGCCCUUUUGUUGGGAAAGAAAAGCAGCAUGUUAAUACCUCGCUGUUCUGACGGUACCCAAAGAAUAAGCACCGGCUAACUUCGUG